Molecule: ribosomal RNA, 253 nt
Filed under: uncultured prokaryote
Description: partial 16S ribosomal RNA
Rfam family: Bacterial small subunit ribosomal RNA
Source: RNAcentral
UACGAAGGAUCCAAGCGUUGUCCGGAUUUACUGGGUUUAAAGGGAGCGUAGGCGGGUUAUUAAGUCAGUGGUGAAAGCUUGCAGCUUAACUGUAAAAUUGCCAUUGAAACUGAUAGUCUUGAAUAUGGUUGAGGUGGUUGGAAUAUAUCAUGUAGCGGUGAAAUGCUUAGAUAUGAUAUAGAACACCGAUUGCGAAGGCAGAUCACUAAACCAUUAUUGACGCUGAGGCUCGAAAGCGUGGGGAUCAAACAGG